AUGACGUUAUUAAUGCACGACGGACCCGACACGCGAGGAGCAUACAUUACUCUCCUCACUGGAGACAGGAAAGCUUAGUUGAUAUUGUUGAACUGUUUGGAGUAACUCCGUUAUUAAAAAGAAAGUCAAAAGCUUUAGCUCGACUUUAGUGGAGUCACCAUUUUAUUUGAUUGAGGUUUUUAGACAGUAGCUGUAAGUUGCAUCAGCCGCAGUGAAAGGGCCCCGUUGCGUGAUUGUUCAGAAAGUCAAUAUGGCGGGUGACGAGUCGGGUACGACGCUGCGUCAGCCUCACUUGGCCAAACAAGACCUCACUACUCUGGACGUGUCGAAGCUGACGACUCUGUCCCCCGAGAUCAUCAGCAGACAGGCCACCAUCAACAUCGGCACCAUCGGCCACGUGGCGCACGGGAAGUCCACGGUGGUGAAGGCCAUCUCGGGCGUUCACACCGUCCGCUUCAAAAACGAGCUGGAGAGAAACAUCACCAUCAAGCUCGGAUACGCUAACGCCAAGAUCUACAUGCUGGACGACCCCAGCUGCCCUCGACCCGAAUGCUACCGCUCGUGCGGGAGUAGCACCCCCGACGAGUUCCCCACAGAUAUCUCCGGCACCAAAGGCGACUUCAAACUUGUCAGACACGUGUCCUUCGUGGACUGUCCCGGUCACGACAUUUUGAUGGCCACCAUGUUGAACGGAGCCGCCGUCAUGGACGCCGCCCUCCUCCUCAUCGCGGGCAACGAGUCAUGUCCUCAGCCGCAAACGUCUGAGCAUCUGGCCGCCAUCGAGAUCAUGAAGCUCAAGCACAUCCUCAUCCUGCAGAACAAGAUCGACCUGGUGAAGGAGAGCCAGGCCAAAGAACAGUAUGAGCAGAUCCUCACCUUCGUGCAGGGCACGGUGGCCGAGGGCGCGCCCAUCAUUCCCAUCUCGGCGCAACUCAAGUACAACAUCGAGGUGGUGUGCGAGUACAUCGUCAAGAAGAUCCCCGUCCCUGUGCGAGACUUCGCCUCAGAGCCCAGGCUCAUUGUCAUCAGGUCGUUUGACGUCAACAAGCCCGGCUGUGAAGUAGACGACCUGAAGGGCGGCGUGGCGGGAGGGAGUAUCCUCAAGGGCGUCCUCAAGGUGGGCCAGGAGAUCGAGGUGCGGCCGGGCAUCGUGUCCAAGGACCACGAGGGGAAGCUCAUGUGCAAACCCAUCUUCUCCAAGAUCGUCUCCCUGUUUGCCGAACACAACGACCUUCAGUACGCCGCGCCCGGAGGCCUGAUCGGCGUGGGCACCAAGAUCGACCCGACGCUGUGCCGAGCAGACCGCAUGGUGGGUCAGGUGCUGGGCGCCGUCGGGGAGCUGCCCGAGAUCUUCACCGAGCUGGAGAUCUCCUACUUCCUGCUGCGCAGGCUCCUGGGCGUGCGCACGGAGGGAGACAAGAAGGCCGCCAAGGUCCAGAAGCUGUCCAAGAACGAAGUGCUGAUGGUGAACAUCGGCUCGCUGUCGACGGGCGGCCGCGUCAGCGCCGUCAAAGCCGAUCUGGCCAAGAUCGUGCUCACCAACCCCGUCUGCACCGAAGUCGGCGAGAAGAUCGCGCUCAGUCGCCGAGUGGAGAAACAUUGGCGUCUGAUUGGCUGGGGGCAGAUCAGGAGGGGCGUGACCAUCACGCCCACGGUGGACGACGACUGAGAGGAGAAAGCGGUGGGCCGUUGCCGUAGCAACGCUCUCAUCAGGCAUUGCCCACGACAGGCGCGCUGGUUCUUUCCCGUAGACGGACAGCAACGCCACCGCCGCCGCAUUUUGGACUUUGUUCAACAUCCUCGGCUGGCUGCGCUUCAAUGCAGCAAAAGGCUGAAAGUUGCAGCUGGCUUCUCGUGUGGACUGAAUGGGUGCCGUCAACGGGGACAUGAAAUGCCAAUCUUUUAAGGGGAAUGGCCCGUCAGCAACAUACUGAGAAAAAAAACUAAAGGAACCAUGAACUAGUUCAUUUUUUGGAAAGGUGAACUGAACUUUGAACUAUGUGUAGACCCAAAAAAUAAAAAAUAAAAAAAAACUUCCUAACACUGGCUAGUUGUGUAAUUUAAGACAGUUCUGCUUUGCAAUAGACAGAUUGCAAUUUAUUUUUUUAAGUGUGAAAUGAUCCAAACUUUGGACAUUCUCAAGUAUAAUGUUUUGUGUGUUUUAUCAAUAAGUAUAUUUUGUGUAUU
Molecule: RNA transcript, 2187 nt
Organism: Phycodurus eques (leafy seadragon)
Lineage: Eukaryota; Metazoa; Chordata; Actinopteri; Syngnathiformes; Syngnathidae
Gene: eif2s3
Gene name: eukaryotic translation initiation factor 2, subunit 3 gamma
Exons: 14
Source: RefSeq, a predicted model, not a curated record